UACGUAGGGUGCGAGCGUUGUCCGGAAUUACUGGGCGUAAAGAGCUCGUAGGUGGUUUGUCGCGUUGUUCGUGAAAACUCACAGCUCAACUGUGGGCGUGCGGGCGAUACGGGCAGACUGGAGUACUGCAGGGGAGACUGGAAUUCCUGGUGUAGCGGUGGAAUGCGCAGAUAUCAGGAGGAACACCAACGGCGAAGGCAGCUUGCUGGGACGGUACUGACGCUAAGGCGCGAAAGCCAGGGGAGCAAACGGG
This 253-nucleotide ribosomal RNA is filed under the name uncultured bacterium. Its description in RNAcentral is "partial 16S ribosomal RNA". It matches the Rfam family "Bacterial small subunit ribosomal RNA", at positions 524 to 776 of the family's 1533-position model. The record is from RNAcentral.